CAGAUUGUCUGACCAGCUGCUCAUAUGCCAAAUAAAACAAGAUCCAGGAAACAGGGACUGGACCCAAAAUGCAGACAUGGAAGCACAGCAGGUUCAGUGAAUGGCAUUUAUUGAACCAAGAGAAAGAAAACUUACAGGGUCGUUGGGGGCUGGAGCCAAUAACAGCUGGCACUGGGUGAGAGGCGGGGUACACCCUGGACAGCUUGCCAGUCCAUCUCAGGGCACCAGCUCUUUAAGCUUCUUAAAAAAAAAAAAGCUUAAAGAGCUGGGCACUGUAGGGAAGGUUAUUGAAACAAAAGUAACAAUGGAUUUGUGGACUGUUGGGAUUGGGACUAUUUUGAUUUGUGAAUUGAUACACAUUUGUGAGUAUUUUGAUGGUGAAUGUACGAUCGAAUCACAAUAAAUGACUGUGCCCAUGUUCACUGUCACUCAGUGCAACAAUGUGGCUCUUUGAUGACUGUUAGUAGAAUCUGUUAAUUCAUCCUACUAACAGUCAUGUU
Long non-coding RNA from Micropterus dolomieu (smallmouth bass), 500 nucleotides. RefSeq lists it as uncharacterized. NCBI's taxonomy places the organism in Eukaryota, Metazoa, Chordata, Actinopteri, Centrarchiformes, Centrarchidae. The record is from RefSeq and is a predicted model, not a curated record. The transcript has 4 exons.